UACGUAGGGUGCUAGCGUUGUUCGGAAUCAUUGGGCGUAAAGCGCGUGUAGGCGGUCAAUAAAGUUGGGUGUGAAAGCCCUCGGCUCAACCGAGGAAGUGCAUCCAAAACUAAUUGGCUAGAAGAUGGUAGAGGGAGGUGGAAUUCCUAGUGUAGAGGUGAAAUUCGUAGAUAUUAGGAGGAAUACCGGUGGCGAAGGCGGCCUCCUGGGCCAUUCUUGACGCUGAGACGCGAAAGCGUGGGUAGCAAACAGG
Molecule: ribosomal RNA, 253 nt
Filed under: uncultured bacterium
Lineage: Bacteria
Description: partial 16S ribosomal RNA
Rfam family: Bacterial small subunit ribosomal RNA
Source: RNAcentral